GCGCGAAACCUUCACAAUGCACGAAAGUGUGAUGAGGGUACUCCGAGUGCGCAUACAUUGUAUGUGCUUUUCUGCAGCGUAAAUAGUUGCAGGAAUAAGGGCUGGGCAAGACCGGUGCCAGCCGCCGCGGUAACACCGGCAGCCCUAGUGGUGGUCGCUUUUAUUGGGCCUAAAGCGUCCGUAGCCGGAUAGGCAAGUCUUUGGGUAAAUCCUACGUCUUAAGCGUGGGAAUUCUAAAGAUACUACCUGUCUUGAGGCCGGGAGAGGCUAGAGGUACUCCUGGGGUAGGGGUAAAAUCCUAUAAUCCUGGGGGGACCACCGAUGGCGAAGGCAUCUAGCUGGAACGGGCCUGACGGUGAGGGACGAAACCCAGGGGAGCGAGCCGGAUUAGAUACCCGGGUAGUCCUGGGCGUAAAUGAUGUGGGCUUGGUGUGAGCGCAUCGACGAGGUGCGUUUGUGCCGUAGGGAAGCCGUUAAGCCCACCGCCUGGGGAGUACGGUCGCAAGGCUGAAACU
Molecule: ribosomal RNA, 515 nt
Filed under: uncultured euryarchaeote
Lineage: Archaea; Methanobacteriati; Methanobacteriota
Description: bacterial SSU rRNA
Rfam family: Archaeal small subunit ribosomal RNA
Source: RNAcentral